UGAAAUGGGGGAACCCUGAUCCAGCAAUGCCGCGUGAGUGAUGAAGGCCUUCGGGUUGUAAAGCUCUUUUAUCGGGGACGAUGAUGACGGUACCCGAUGAAUAAGCUCCGGCUAACUUCGUGCCAGCAGCCGCGGUAAUACGAGGGGAGCUAGCGUUGUUCGGAAUUACUGGGCGUAAAGGGCGCGUAGGCGGUACUAUAAGUCAGAUGUGAAAGCCCUGGGCUUAACCUAGGAGGUGCAUUUGAAACUGUAGAACUAGAGAUCGAGAGAGGAAAGUGGAAUUACGAGUGUAGAGGUGAAAUUCGUAGAUAUUCGUAAGAACACCAGUGGCGAAGGCGACUUUCUGGCUCGAUACUGACGCUAAGGCGCGAAAGCGUGGGGAGCAAACAGGAUUAGAUACCCUGGUAGUCCACGCCGUAAACGAUGAGUGCUAGUUGUCGGCAUGCAUGCAUGUCGGUGACGCAGCUAACGCAUUAAGCACUCCGCCUGGGGAGUACGGUCGCAAGAUUAAAACUCAAAAAAAUUGACGGA
This 531-nucleotide ribosomal RNA is filed under the name uncultured bacterium. RNAcentral's name for it is "bacterial SSU rRNA". It matches the Rfam family "Bacterial small subunit ribosomal RNA", at positions 367 to 917 of the family's 1533-position model. The record is from RNAcentral.